This 253-nucleotide ribosomal RNA is filed under the name uncultured bacterium. RNAcentral's name for it is "partial 16S ribosomal RNA". It matches the Rfam family "Bacterial small subunit ribosomal RNA", at positions 524 to 776 of the family's 1533-position model. The record is from RNAcentral.
UACGUAGGUGGCGAGCGUUGUCCGGAUUUAUUGGGCGUAAAGGGAACGCAGGCGGUUUUUUAAGUCUGAUGUGAAAGCCUUCGGCUUAACCUAAGUAGUGCAUUGGAAACUGGAAGUCUUGAGUGCAGAAGAGGAGAGUGGAACUCCGUGUGUAGCGGUGAAAUGCGUAGAUAUAUGGAAGAACACCAGUGGCGAAAGCGGCUCUCUGGUCUGUAACUGACGCUGAGGUUCGAAAGCGUGGGUAGCAAACAGG